UCCGGUUGAUCCUGCCGGAGGUCACUGCUUUUGGAUUUCGACUAAGCCAUGCAAGUUGCGAGAAUUAGAUUCUCGGCGUCAGGCUGAGUAACACGUGGAUAAUCUACCUUAAGGCGGGGAAUAACCUCGGGAAACUGAGGAUAAUGCCCCAUAGGCAACGGAUACUGGAAUGUUCCAUUGCCGAAAGCUCCGGCGCCUUAGGAUGAGUCCGCGGCGGAUUAGGUUGUUGGUAGGGUAAUGGCCUACCAAGCCACUGAUCCGUAGGGGCCGUGAGAGCGGGAGCCCCCAGACGGGAACUGAGACAAGGUCCCGAGCCCUACGGGGUGCAGCAGGCGCGCAACCUCCGCAAUGCCCGCAAGGGUGACGGGGGGAAUCCAAGUGCUUCAGAUUUAUCUGGAGCUUUUCUGAAGCGUAAAUAACUUCAGGAAUAAAGGCUGGGUAAGACCGGUGCCAGCCGCCGCGGUAACACCGGCGGCCUUAGUGGUGACCGCUAUUAUUGGGCCUAAAGCGUUCGUAGCCGGGAGCAUAAGUCUCUAUGUAAAUCAGGCGGCUUAACCGUCUGAAUUGUAGGGAUACUGUGUUCCUUGGAGCUGGGAGGAGACAUGAGUACUCCAGGGGUAAGGGUGGAAUCUACUGAUCCCUGGGGGACUACCUGUGGCGAAGGCGCAUGUCUAGAACAGACUCGACGGUGAGGGACGAAACCCUGGGUAGCGAACGGGAUUAGAUACCCCGGUAGUCCAGGGGCGUAAACGAUGCCCGCUUGGUGUUGCGCACUCUACGAGGGUGUGCAGUGCCGUAACGUAGGUGUUUAGCGGGCCGCCUGGGAGUAUGGUCGCAAGGCUGAAACUUAAAGGAAUUGACGGGGGAGCACCACAAGGGGUGGAGUCUGCGGUUCAUUGGAUUCAACGCCGGAAAUCUUACCAGGGAAGACAGCAGAAUGAUGGUCAGUCUGAUGGGCUUGCUUAACACGCUGAGAGGCGGUGCAUGGCCGUCGUCAGCUCGUGCCGUGAGGUGUCCUGUUAAGUCAGGUAACGAGCGAGACCCGUGCCUCUUGUUGCUAUCUGGUCCUCCGGGGCCAGAGCACUCUGGAGGGACCGCCGGUGAUAAACCGGAGGAAGGAGCGGGCAACGAUAGGUCAGUAUGCCCCGAAUUUCCUGGGCUACACGCGGACUACAAUGCGUAGGACAGAGGGUUGCAACACCGAAAGGUGGAGCCAAUCCCGAAACCUGCGCCCAAUUCGGAUUGAGGGCUGUAACCCGCCCUCAUGGAGCCGGAAUCCCCAGUAAUCGGUUGUCACUAUCAACCGGUGAAUACGUCCCUGCUCCUUGUACACACCGCCCGUCAAGUCAAUCGAGUGAGCUUUGGAUGAGGGCCCGUCCUUUGGGCAGGUUCGAAUCCCAGGUUCGCAAGAGGGGCUAAGUCGUAACAAGGU
This 1432-nucleotide ribosomal RNA is filed under the name uncultured euryarchaeote. RNAcentral describes it as "bacterial SSU rRNA". It matches the Rfam family "Archaeal small subunit ribosomal RNA". Lineage: Archaea; Methanobacteriati; Methanobacteriota. The record is from RNAcentral.